Molecule: ribosomal RNA, 253 nt
Filed under: uncultured bacterium
Lineage: Bacteria
Description: partial 16S ribosomal RNA
Rfam family: Bacterial small subunit ribosomal RNA
Source: RNAcentral
UACGGGGGGGGCAAGCGUUGUUCGGAAUUACUGGGCGUAAAGGGCUCGUAGGCGGCCAACUAAGUCAGACGUGAAAUCCCUCGGCUUAACCGGGGAACUGCAUCUGAUACUGGAUGGCUUGAGUUCGGGAGAGGGAUGCGGAAUUCCAGGUGUAGCGGUGAAAUGCGUAGAUAUCAGGAGGAACACCAGUGGCGAAGGCGACUACCUGGCCUGUUCUUGACGCUGAGGCGCGAAAGCUAGGGGAGCAAACGGG